GGUGUAGGGCGAAUGCCUUGGCACUAGGAGCCGAUGAAGGACGCGAUAAGCUGCGAUAAGCUUGGGGGAGUUGCACGUAAACUGUGAUCCCAAGAUUUCCGAAUGAGGAAACUCACUUAGAGUAAUGUCUAAGUAUCGUAUAGUGAAUACAUAGCUAUGCGAGGGGAACCCGGGGAACUGAAACAUCUAAGUACCCGGAGGAAGAGAAAGAAAUUCGAUUCCGUAAGUAGCGGCGAGCGAACGCGGAACAGGCCAAACCAGUGAAGUUUUCUUCACUGGGGUUGCGGACAUAUCAUAACAGAAUCACUUAUUCAAGACGAAGAGAGUUGGAAAGCUCCGCUAUAAAGUGUAAAAGCCACGUAGUUUAAAGAAUAAGACUCUAGAUAUGAUCCAGAGUACCACGGGACACGUGAAACCCUGUGGGAAGCAGGAGGGACCAUCCUCCAAGCCUAAAUACUACCUAGUGACCGAUAGCGUAUAGUACCGUGAGGGAAAGGUGAAAAGAACCCCGGGAGGGGAGUGAAAUAGAACCUGAAACCCUACACUUACAAGCUGUAGGAGCACAUUAUUUGUGUGACUGCGUACUUUUUGUAGAACGGGCCAACGAGUUACGUUACCUAGCAAGGUUAAGCACUUAAGGUGUGGAGCCGCAGCGAAAGCGAGUCUUAACUGGGCGUAUAAGAUAGCUGGUUCUCUCCGAAAUAGCUUUAGGGCUAGCCUCAAGAUUUAGAGAAACGGGGGUAGAGCACUGAAUGUCCUAGGGGGUAUUGCACUUACCGAAGACUAUCAAACUCCGAAUACCGUAUUCUUAUGCUUGGGAGUCAGACUGUGGGUGAUAAGAUUCAUAGUCAAAAGGGCAACAGCCCAGAUCGUCAGCUAAGGUCCCUAAAUGUACGUUAAGUGGUAAAGGAUGUGGGAUUGCACAGACAACCAGGAUGUUGGCUUAGAAGCAGCCACUCAUUUAAAGAGUGCGUAAUAGCUCACUGGUCGAGUGAUCCUGCGCCGAAAAUUUCCGGGGCUAAAACGUACUACCGAAGCUACGGCAUCAUUU
This 1051-nucleotide ribosomal RNA is filed under the name Terrisporobacter glycolicus. Its description in RNAcentral is "partial 23S ribosomal RNA". It matches the Rfam family "Bacterial large subunit ribosomal RNA", at positions 16 to 1213 of the family's 2925-position model. Lineage: Bacteria; Bacillati; Bacillota; Clostridia; Peptostreptococcales; Peptostreptococcaceae. The record is from RNAcentral.